AUGUUGGUUUAAAUCCCUCCUUUAUCAA
RNAcentral lists this transfer RNA (28 nucleotides) under Gerrhonotus parvus. RNAcentral describes it as "partial tRNA-Met". Lineage: Eukaryota; Metazoa; Chordata; Lepidosauria; Squamata; Anguidae. The record is from RNAcentral.